GACGGGAGGUGCGGGCGUUAUUCGUUCUGAUUGGGUGUAAAGGGUACGUAGGCGGCGCAUUACAGCUUGAGACCAAAAUGGCGGAGCGUUCCUAUGCAUCGGUCCAUUCUAAUAAAGUGCGCUAGAGUUGCGAAGUGGUCGGGACAAUUUCCUGUGUAUGGGUCAAAUCUUACCAUACAGGAACGACUGUCAGCGGGCGAAGGCGCCCCUCUAUUCUCAACUGACGCUCAGGUACGGAAGCUUGGGGAUCAAACAGG
Molecule: unclassified non-coding RNA, 257 nt
Filed under: uncultured bacterium
Lineage: Bacteria
Description: contains 16S-23S intergenic spacer region
Rfam family: Bacterial small subunit ribosomal RNA
Source: RNAcentral